AUAGCACCUGAGUGUCAAGGAACCUGGAGGGUACUGAGCCACAAAACCAGCAACCUGAACAACAUCUUCUUGAUCUGCCUCUAAUCUCUUGACAAACGUUGGAGGUUGAAAGUAAGAGUGGAGAGAGGUAGCUCCUGCUUCUGCAUCAUGAAGGAAGUUGCACUUGUUCCCGCAGAAACAGGAUAUCAUUGACCACAUCUGACAAGACAACACAGCAAGGAAAUGGAGCACCUUCGGGACUGCAAAGAGAAUC
Molecule: long non-coding RNA, 253 nt
Filed under: Piliocolobus tephrosceles (Ugandan red Colobus)
Lineage: Eukaryota; Metazoa; Chordata; Mammalia; Primates; Cercopithecidae
Description: lncRNA (ENSPTEG00000005682.1)
Source: RNAcentral